CUUCCACAUCCGUCUGUGAAGCGCGGCGAGCUCGGAGAGGUCUGCCAUCUUCACGGCACGGAUGACUGGCUCCGGGGAGACGGCCUGGAUGACACCCAUCACCAUGACAUAUGUGCCUGUAAAAACAGCAGCAGGUGUAAAUAAUAACAUUAAUGAUGGCUGCAGUCGAUUCAGUUUGAACAGCUCUAACUUCCUCAGUGAUGCAGUUUAAACAGGUUGUGCCGCUUAACAAAAGACAGUCCUCAACAGAUUAAAGGUGACUGUAUCACACCUGACAGGUUCUCAUUAAGACUUCUUCUCUGGUCAGGAACAAGCUUCACUCUGAUUAACUCACCUUGGGACAAACACGGUUUUCCUUUGGGGAUGUUGUUGAC
Long non-coding RNA from Acanthopagrus latus (yellowfin seabream), 374 nucleotides. RefSeq lists it as uncharacterized. The record is from RefSeq and is a predicted model, not a curated record. NCBI's taxonomy places the organism in Eukaryota, Metazoa, Chordata, Actinopteri, Spariformes, Sparidae. The transcript has 3 exons.